Nilaparvata lugens (brown planthopper) is the source of this 804-nucleotide long non-coding RNA. RefSeq lists it as uncharacterized. The record is from RefSeq and is a predicted model, not a curated record. The transcript has 4 exons. Lineage: Eukaryota; Metazoa; Arthropoda; Insecta; Hemiptera; Delphacidae.
CUGUUGGUAUUGAGUCAGACCGAGAGUGGAUGGAGACAUCACUUUCGCAACUGACAUCUCAGGGAAUGGAAGUCUUCUCUGCUGCUUUUGGACACCAGGAUUAAGAAAAAACUACUCCAUGGUGGAAGGGCAGAUUGACCCUGAAAAAGACAUGUUAUCACAGCGGGGUUCCCACUGGGAGAGGUCUCACUCAGCCCUUGGAUUCAACUUCAUUAGGAUUACAGGAGAUACAAACAUCAGGAUGAAUAGAAAAGGAUGAAAAAAGAUGGUAAGAGAAAGAACUUCUGAGGAUUAUAAUUUGGAUGAAUAACGGCUAUGCUGCUCAAAGCCUACAAAAACCAGGCCUACCAAAGGAAUUAGAGAUGGAUCGUGUUUGUAUGACAUUGUAUUACAGUGUAAAAGUCUACAGUAUACAGUGCAGUAGAGAAGACCUAUCAAUUGAGAAAGCAAACUUUCUACUAUGAAGAAUAGAAAAGGAGACAGUAUCCAGUAUUCUUCCAUUCAAGUAUUCGCUGAGCUUCAUGGAAUCUGAAUAGGAUUAUGAAGGCGUAGGUCAGGAAGAUUUGCUCUGUUGAUUAAGUAGCAAAAGAACUUCAAGUAUCUGACAACUUAGGGGCUUGGCCGGAUUCAUUUCCUGUUUACUUGAGUGAAACUCAUAUGAUGUGCAUAGUUCAUCCUUCAGGUACAAAGCUAAAUCAUCUUGCUGCAUAAUGUAACAAGGUAUUAAACUAUUAUUCAAUAGAAAAGUUGCAUUGUAAAGAUUAUAAAUAAUUCAAGUUUCUAAAGUAUUUGAAUAAACUGUAU